Molecule: long non-coding RNA, 310 nt
Filed under: Coffea arabica (coffee)
Lineage: Eukaryota; Viridiplantae; Streptophyta; Magnoliopsida; Gentianales; Rubiaceae
Description: long non-coding RNA (CARA_LNC002832)
Source: RNAcentral
UCCAAGACAUUCAUUGCUCAGGUUAAGCCUGGAAAUACCAAAGAUGAUGGGACUUAUCAGCGAUAUACAAUUGUUUAUUACUUUGAAGACAGCGGAGACCAUGACCUUCUUGAGGAACAGCUCCUAAGUAGUUCUCAUGUAGCCAGUCAGCUUUCUGUAGCUGAUACUCCAGGUAGUUGCUGCAUGCUUGGCCAUAUACUUUUUAAAAUGCCCGUUCCCAAAUCUUUUUUUAUUUCUUUUCGCUUGUUCUGUUGCGCAGAGAAACCAUGUUCUUCUCCCAAGAGCCAACUCUGCUUUGAUAAGAAGCAAC